GGUGCUGUGGCUUAGUUGGUUUAAGCACCUGUCUAGUCAACAGGAGAUCUUGGGUUCAAAUCCAGUGCCU
RNAcentral lists this transfer RNA (70 nucleotides) under Ameiurus melas (black bullhead). It matches the Rfam family "tRNA". From Rfam's summary of the family: Transfer RNA (tRNA) molecules are approximately 80 nucleotides in length. The record is from Rfam by way of RNAcentral. Lineage: Eukaryota; Metazoa; Chordata; Actinopteri; Siluriformes; Ictaluridae.